RNAcentral lists this ribosomal RNA (246 nucleotides) under uncultured bacterium. Its description in RNAcentral is "partial 16S ribosomal RNA". It matches the Rfam family "Bacterial small subunit ribosomal RNA", at positions 109 to 354 of the family's 1533-position model. The record is from RNAcentral.
AGUAACACGUGAGCAAUCUGCCCUUGUGAGGGGGAUAACGUCUGGAAACGGACGCUAAUACCGCAUAACAUGUAUUUCUCGCAUGGGAGAUACAUCAAAGAUUUUAUCGCACAGGGAUGAGCUCGCGGCUGAUUAGCUAGUUGGCGGGGUAACGGCCCACCAAGGCGACGAUCAGUAGCCGGACUGAGAGGUUGAACGGCCACAUUGGGACUGAGACACGGCCCAGACUCCUACGGGAGGCAGCAG